RNAcentral lists this transfer RNA (73 nucleotides) under Mus musculus (house mouse). Its description in RNAcentral is "tRNA-Ala". Lineage: Eukaryota; Metazoa; Chordata; Mammalia; Rodentia; Muridae. The record is from RNAcentral.
GGAUGUGUGGCUCAGUUAGUAGAGCACUUGCCGAGCAUCCAGGAAGUCCAGGGUUCAAUCCCCAGCACUGGUG